AUGACUAUCAUAUAAUAUGUUGUAAUUCCUUUGAGUGUUUCAAAUCAAAUAAAUUUUUAUUUUCAGUUGUUCAUUGUUCAAACUUAUUUGAAACCUACAGUAUAUGUAGUUGCUAUGAUUCAAAUUAAUAUCCAAAAGUGUGCCUUUUACUUCAGUCCUUAAUUAUAGACUCCACCCUAAUACAGACACUUUAUUGUGCCACUCCAAUGUUCAUUCAAAGUGAUCCGACUGACAUCUGAGCUGGUGAUAAUAUACAGCAAAGUAUUGGAACUAGGAGUAUAUCACAUAAGUUGUUCAUUCAGUCAAGACAUCCAGGUUGUGCUGAUCAUCAUAUCAAACUCCAUCACAUAUUGUGCCUUAAAAACAUAUAUACAAAUUUUAAAAGUUGUUGCAGCACACUGGGCAAUUCCAUUUAAUAUAGCCCCCCACACCCUAUUGAGGGGUCUCUUCAUAAUACUAUUACCUUAAACAUUUUGGAACCCCAUUGGAUGCAAUUUUGGAACCCCCAUGGAUAUCUUUCUACCCCUUUAGGAUAUUGUUCCUGCCUCUUUGGAUAUCACUAAAACACCUAAUUUUUUUGAAAUCUCUUAAGCUACCCUCCAGAAAAAUUUAAGGUAAAAUCCCCCUCACUAAAAUCCCCAUAUAGGAUAUCCAGACCUCAAUAGUGGGGCUAUUUAUCGAUGGAAUGGCCCAUUUGACUUGGUGAGUGGUGACUACCACCAAAGCAAAAUGAAAGCA
Molecule: non-coding RNA, 738 nt
Organism: Paramuricea clavata
Lineage: Eukaryota; Metazoa; Cnidaria; Anthozoa; Malacalcyonacea; Plexauridae
Source: the annotation of a GenBank genome assembly